Molecule: non-coding RNA, 132 nt
Organism: Xyrichtys novacula (pearly razorfish)
Lineage: Eukaryota; Metazoa; Chordata; Actinopteri; Labriformes; Labridae
Source: the annotation of a GenBank genome assembly
GCAUGUUUUGAUUUGAGAUCUGACCCACAAAUGUGGUCCUGUCUCAGUGUACGACAUGCCACAUCAACUUGACUCCGAACCAUUGGCUGGUUCAAGACAAUGGACCUGAUCACUGAAGCGAGUCAGACACUU